RNAcentral lists this ribosomal RNA (496 nucleotides) under uncultured bacterium. Its description in RNAcentral is "partial 16S ribosomal RNA". It matches the Rfam family "Bacterial small subunit ribosomal RNA", at positions 28 to 506 of the family's 1533-position model. The record is from RNAcentral.
GAUGAACGCUGGCGGCGUGCCUAAUACAUGCAAGUCGAGCGAACGGACGAGAAGCUUGCUUCUCUGAUGUUAGCGGCGGACGGGUGAGUAACACGUGGAUAACCUACCUAUAAGACUGGGAUAACUUCGGGAAACCGUAGCUAAUACCGGAUAAUCUUUUGAACCGCAUGGUUCAAAAGUGAAAGACGGUCUUGCUAUCACUUAUAGAUGGAUCCGCGCUGCAUUAGCUAGUUGGUAAGGUAACGGCUUACCAAGGCAACGAUGCAUAGCCGACCUGAGAGGGUGAUCGGCCACACUGGAACUGAGACACGGUCCAGACUCCUACGGGAGGCAGCGGUAGGGAAUCUUCCGCAAUGGGCGAAAGCCUGACGGAGCAACGCCGCGUGAGUGAUGAAGGUCUUCGGAUCGUAAAACUCUGUUAUUAGGGAAGAACAUAUGUGUAAGUAACUGUGCACAUCUUGACGGUACCUAAUCAGAAAGCCACGGCUAACUACGU